Molecule: ribosomal RNA, 301 nt
Filed under: uncultured bacterium
Lineage: Bacteria
Description: partial 16S ribosomal RNA
Rfam family: Bacterial small subunit ribosomal RNA
Source: RNAcentral
CAGCCGCCGCGGUAAUACGAAGGGGGCUAGCGUUGCUCGGAAUGACUGGGCGUAAAGGGCGCGUAGGCGGAUUGUUUAGUUAGGCGUGAAAUUCCUGGGCUUAACCUGGGGACUGCGCUUAAUACAGGCAGUCUAGAGUGAGGAAGAGGGUUGUGGAAUUCCCAGUGUAGAGGUGAAAUUCGUAGAUAUUGGGAAGAACACCGGUGGCGAAGGCGGCAACCUGGUCCUUGACUGACGCUGAGGCGCGAAAGCGUGGGGAGCAAACAGGAUUAGAGACCCCAGUAGUCCCUGUCUCUUAUAC